AGCUUUGCGCAGUGGCAGUAUCGUAGCCAAUGAGGUUUAUCCGAGGCGCGAUUAUUGCUAAUUGAUUCUUUCUAUAAAUGAUCAAGUAAUAAGUGACCUAACAAGGGAUAUAUACUUCCUUUUACUGUGAAUAUGGCCUGUAGACC
Small nuclear RNA from Mustela lutreola (European mink), 146 nucleotides. RefSeq annotates it as U4 spliceosomal RNA. Lineage: Eukaryota; Metazoa; Chordata; Mammalia; Carnivora; Mustelidae. The record is from RefSeq and is a predicted model, not a curated record. The transcript has a single exon.